GCCUGGGUGGCUCAGUCGGUUGGGCGUCUGACUUCGGCUCAGGUCAUGAUCUCACGGGUUGUGAGUUCGAGCCCCGCGUCGGGCU
This is a non-coding RNA of Felis catus (domestic cat), 85 nucleotides long. The record is from Rfam. Lineage: Eukaryota; Metazoa; Chordata; Mammalia; Carnivora; Felidae.